RNAcentral lists this transfer RNA (90 nucleotides) under Paraclostridium bifermentans. RNAcentral's name for it is "tRNA-Ser". It matches the Rfam family "tRNA". Rfam says of the family: Transfer RNA (tRNA) molecules are approximately 80 nucleotides in length. Lineage: Bacteria; Bacillati; Bacillota; Clostridia; Peptostreptococcales; Peptostreptococcaceae. The record is from RNAcentral.
GGAGAGGUGUCCGAGUGGUUUAAGGAGCUGGUCUUGAAAACCAGUGACUCUGAAAGAGGGCCGUGGGUUCGAAUCCCACCCUCUCCGCCA